CACGUGAAAUCCCGUCGGGAUCUGGGAGGACCAUCUCCCAACCCUAAAUACUCCCUAGUGACCGAUAGUGAACCAGUACCGUGAGGGAAAGGUGAAAAGCACCCCGGGAGGGGAGUGAAAUAGAACCUGAAACCGUGUGCCUACAACAAGUUCGAGCCCGUUAAUGGGUGAGAGCGUGCCUUUUGUAGAAUGAACCGGCGAGUUACGUUAUGAUGCGAGGUUAAGUUGAAGAGACGGAGCCGUAGGGAAACCGAGUCUGAAUAGGGCGCCUUAGUAUCAUGACGUAGACCCGAAACCAUGUGACCUACCCAUGAGCAGGUUGAAGGUGCGGUAAGACGCACUGGAGGACCGAACCAGGGCACGUUGAAAAGUGCUUGGAUGACUUGUGGGUAGCGGAGAAAUUCCAAACGAACUUGGAGAUAGCUGGUUCUCUCCGAAAUAGCUUUAGGGCUAGCGUCGACAUUAGAGAUUCUUGGAGGUAGAGCACUGUUUGGGUGAGGGGUCCAUCCCGGAUUACCAAUCUCAGAUAAACUCCGAAUGCCAAUGAAUUAUGGUCGGCAGUCAGACUGCGAGUGCUAAGAUCCGUAGUCGAAAGGGAAACAGCCCAGACCACCAGCUAAGGUCCCAAAAUAAUUGUUAAGUGGAAAAGGAUGUGGGGUUGCACAGACAACUAGGAUGUUAGCUUAGAAGCAGCUAUUCAUUCAAAGAGUGCGUAAUAGCUCACUAGUCGAGUGACCCUGCGCCGAAAAUGUACCGGGGCUAAAACAAUUUACCGAAGCUGUGGAUACCUUUAUAGGUAUGGUAGGAGAGCGUUCUAUGUGUGAUGAAGGUAUACCGUGAGGAGUGCUGGAACGCAUAGAAGUGAGAAUGCCGGUAUGAGUAGCGAAAGACAGGUGAGAAUCCUGUCCACCGUAAGACUAAGGUUUCCAGGGGAAGGCUCGUCCGCCCUGGGUUAGUCGGGACCUAAGGAGAGACCGAAAGGUGUAUCCGAUGGACAACAGGUUGAUAUUCCUGUACUAGAGUAUGUAGUGAUGGAGGGACGCAGUAGGCUAACUAAAGCAGACGAUUGGAAGAGUCUGUCUAAGCAGUGAGGUGUGAAUUGAGUCAAAUGCUUAAUUCUAUAACAUUGAGCUGUGAUGGGGAGCGAAGUUUAGUAGCGAAGUUAGUGACGUCACACUGCCAAGAAAAGCUUCUAGCGUUUAAACAUACUCUACCCGUACCGCAAACCGACACAGGUAGUCGAGGCGAGUAGCCUCAGGUGAGCGAGAGAACUCUCGUUAAGGAACUCGGCAAAAUGACCCCGUAACUUCGGGAGAAGGGGUGCUGACUUAAAGUCAGCCGCAGUGAAUAGGCCCAAGCAACUGUUUAUCAAAAACACAGCUCUCUGCUAAAUCGUAAGAUGAUGUAUAGGGGGUGACGCCUGCCCGGUGCUGGAAGGUUAAGAGGAGUGCUUAGCGUAAGCGAAGGUAUGAAUUGAAGCCCCAGUAAACGGCGGCCGUAACUAUAACGGUCCUAAGGUAGCGAAAUUCCUUGUCGGGUAAGUUCCGACCCGCACGAAAGGCGUAAUGAUUUGGGCACUGUCUCAACGAGAGACUCGGUGAAAUUUUAGUACCUGUGAAGAUGCAGGUUACCCGCGACAGGACGGAAAGACCCCAUGGAGCUUUACUGCAGUUUGAUAUUGAGUGUCUGUACCACAUGUACAGGAUAGGUAGGAGUCUAAGAGAUCGGGACGCCAGUUUCGAAGGAGACGCUGUUGGGAUACUACCCUUGUGUUAUGGCCACUCUAACCCAGAUAGGUGAUCCCUAUCGGAGACAGUGUCUGACGGGCAGUUUGACUGGGGCGGUCGCCUCCUAAAAGGUAACGGAGGCGCCCAAAGGUUCCCUCAGAAUGGUUGGAAAUCAUUCGCAGAGUGUAAAGGUAUAAGGGAGCUUGACUGCGAGAGCUACAACUCGAGCAGGGACGAAAGUCGGGCUUAGUGAUCCGGUGGUUCCGUAUGGAAGGGCCAUCGCUCAACGGAUAAAAGCUACCCUGGGGAUAACAGGCUUAUCUCCCCCAAGAGUUCACAUCGACGGGGAGGUUUGGCACCUCGAUGUCGGCUCGUCGCAUCCUGGGGCUGUAGUCGGUCCCAAGGGUUGGGCUGUUCGCCCAUUAAAGCGGCACGCGAGCUGGGUUCAGAACGUCGUGAGACAGUUCGGUCCCUAUCCGUCGCGGGCGUAGGAAAUUUGAGAGGAUCUGCUCCUAGUACGAGAGGACCAGAGUGGACUUACCGCUGGUGUACCAGUUGUCUUGCCAAAGGCAUCGCUGGGUAGCUAUGUAGGGAAGGGAUAAACGCUGAAAGCAUCUAAGUGUGAAACCCACCUCAAGAUGAGAUUUCCCAUGAUUAUAUAUCAGUAAGAGCCCUGAGAGAUGAUCAGGUAGAUAGGUUAGAAGUGGAAGUGUGGCGACACAUGUAGCGGACUAAUACUAAUAGCUCGAGGACUUAUCCAA
RNAcentral lists this ribosomal RNA (2488 nucleotides) under Streptococcus pneumoniae. RNAcentral's name for it is "bacterial LSU rRNA". It matches the Rfam family "Bacterial large subunit ribosomal RNA", at positions 423 to 2925 of the family's 2925-position model. The record is from RNAcentral. Lineage: Bacteria; Bacillati; Bacillota; Bacilli; Lactobacillales; Streptococcaceae.